This 253-nucleotide ribosomal RNA is filed under the name uncultured bacterium. RNAcentral's name for it is "partial 16S ribosomal RNA". It matches the Rfam family "Bacterial small subunit ribosomal RNA", at positions 524 to 776 of the family's 1533-position model. The record is from RNAcentral.
UACGUAGGGGGCAAGCGUUGUCCGGAUUUAUUGGGCGUAAAGAGCGUGUAGGCGGCCAUACAGGUCCGUUGUGAAAACUGGAGGCUUAACCUCCAGACGUCGAUGGAAACCGUAUGGCUAGAGUCCGGAAGAGGAGAGUGGAAUUCCUGGUGUAGCGGUGAAAUGCGCAGAUAUCAGGAAGAACACCCGUGGCGAAGGCGGCUCUCUGGGACGGUACUGACGCUGAGGCGCGAAAGCGUGGGGAGCGAACAGG